Molecule: long non-coding RNA, 600 nt
Organism: Arabidopsis lyrata subsp. lyrata
Lineage: Eukaryota; Viridiplantae; Streptophyta; Magnoliopsida; Brassicales; Brassicaceae
Exons: 3
Source: RefSeq, a predicted model, not a curated record
AAUUUCUCUCAUAUCUCAUAUCCACCUUGUCACUUAUCUCGGCGAUUUCUUCCGGCGGGACCAGCCACCUCCUCCGUCUGUGUACCUGACAAAUCGAGAUCAAUUUCAAGAGAUGCAGCUUGCAUUUUCCGGUGAUGGCUUCACUCGGAUCGACUGCCUCCGGCCAUUUCCCAGCUUGACGCCCGUGCUCUUUUCUCCUCUAUUCCCAUGUUGUUCUCGACCUAUGCACCGUCUCCGGUGGUUUUGAAAGGGCGGCUUGGAAAAUUUGUAGAGGAAAUCGCCAUCUAUGUAGGGUUCUUCCUUGCUUCGAGUCCCGAUCUCCUCUCUCAAUCUCAGUCUUCAGCUUCCGAAGUGACUUUCAACAAGUAAGCUCGAUGCCUUAUAUAUUUUUCUUACCAAACCCCCAAUCAUGUUGUGUAGAUGGAUAUUAUUUUCUUUCUAGUUUUGAUGGAUAUCCAUCAUUCACACGGGAUUAGUUAUCUAGCCAUUGAUGUCUCAUCCUUGAUUUAUAUGUUUUUUUGAAUAUUUCAGGGCAGAUGAUGAAGUUAUUGGUAGGGCUAUUGCUAUUAAGAUUUUUAGUAAUAGUAUUUUGCCUCUUUG